This 415-nucleotide long non-coding RNA is filed under the name Brassica napus (rape). Its description in RNAcentral is "long non-coding RNA (BNAP_LNC008538)". The record is from RNAcentral. Lineage: Eukaryota; Viridiplantae; Streptophyta; Magnoliopsida; Brassicales; Brassicaceae.
AUUUGCUAUGUUUUUAAACUACUAUUUUGCUUUGAGUUUCGGGUGGUGUUUCUAACUACCAAACAUUGAUUAUACUUAAUUAGACAACAAGUUGUUCACACACUGCAUUCAUUACACAUCAAAUCAGUUUUUAAAAACUCGAACAAAAAGUAGACAGAGAGCAUUCAUCAGAGCAUUAAUCACAGCAACCAACUAACAUAGAUUUAAUGAAACCUAGUUCAGUUCCUACUCUAGAGAGCAUCACAUCACAUUCAGAGCCUUUCAAAUAAUACAACACGGAACCUAGCAUUAUGAAGAUCUAGUUUAGGUCCUAGUCUACCUAGUUAAGUUGAGUUCUACUUCAGCAAGCAACCUACACGGGAACAUUUUUUUAAACUAAAUACUACUUCUACUUCAGUUCAGUUUAGUUUGAGUG